AGAGCGAACGCUGGCGGCGUGCUUAACACAUGCAAGUCGAACGCGCAGCAGUUUGUAGCAAUACAGAUUGUGGGCGCGUGGCGAACGGGUGCGUAACACGUGGAUAACCUUCCUUCAGGUGGGGAAUAACCCAGUGAAAAUUGGGCUAAUACCGCAUAACAUGACGAUGGCUCAUGCCGUUGUCUUCAAAGGCGCAAGUCGCCAGAAGAGGGAUCCGCGGCCGAUUAGCUAGUUGGCGAGGUAAUGGCUCACCAAGGCAUUGAUCGGUA
RNAcentral lists this ribosomal RNA (269 nucleotides) under uncultured bacterium. RNAcentral's name for it is "partial small subunit ribosomal RNA". It matches the Rfam family "Bacterial small subunit ribosomal RNA", at positions 26 to 285 of the family's 1533-position model. The record is from RNAcentral.